UACGUAGGGUGCAAGCGUUGUCCGGAAUUAUUGGGCGUAAAGAGCUCGUAGGCGGUCUGUCGCGUCGGAUGUGAAAACCCAGGGCUCAACCCUGGGCCUGCAUUCGAUACGGGCAGACUAGAGUUCGGUAGGGGAGACUGGAAUUCCUGGUGUAGCGGUGAAAUGCGCAGAUAUCAGGAGGAACACCGGUGGCGAAGGCGGGUCUCUGGGCCGAAACUGACGCUGAGGAGCGAAGGCGUGGGGAGCGAACGGG
Molecule: ribosomal RNA, 253 nt
Filed under: uncultured bacterium
Lineage: Bacteria
Description: partial 16S ribosomal RNA
Rfam family: Bacterial small subunit ribosomal RNA
Source: RNAcentral